Molecule: RNase MRP RNA, 254 nt
Filed under: Lates calcarifer (barramundi perch)
Lineage: Eukaryota; Metazoa; Chordata; Actinopteri; Centropomidae
Description: RNase MRP (ENSLCAG00010027437.1)
Rfam family: RNase MRP
About the family: RNase MRP is an enzymatically active ribonucleoprotein with two distinct roles in eukaryotes. In mitochondria it plays a direct role in the initiation of mitochondrial DNA replication. In the nucleus it is involved in precursor rRNA processing, where it cleaves the internal transcribed spacer 1 between 18S and 5.8S rRNAs.
Source: Rfam by way of RNAcentral
GGGCAUUCAGAAGGCUUGCUCUCUGGGCUACAAGCAGAGAACCUAGUUUCUCCCUCUAUCCGCCCAGGGGAAAGUCCCCGGACUCGUGGCAGAAAGUGCCCUGGGUAAUUCCAGCGUCGAUCAGCGCCUCACCGUUGUAGCUGAGACGUUCAUGAGAACUGAGCUUGGUAGUCGCUGGUCGACAUUGUCAGCGUUAAUAGUAAUGCAAGCAGUUACUGACGCGUGAACAGAACGGGGCUCAUUCUCGGAAUGCA